AACGAACGCUGGCGGCGUGGAUAAGACAUGCAAGUCGAACGCUGAUUGCCGGGUAGCAAUAUUCGGCGGUCGGAGUGGCGUAAGGGUGCGUAACACGUGGGUAAUUUGCCCUGAAGUUGG
RNAcentral lists this ribosomal RNA (120 nucleotides) under uncultured bacterium. RNAcentral describes it as "partial 16S ribosomal RNA". It matches the Rfam family "Bacterial small subunit ribosomal RNA", at positions 29 to 140 of the family's 1533-position model. The record is from RNAcentral.